AAGUCGAACGGAAAUCUUUUAGAUUUUAGUGGCGAACGGGUGAGUAACACGUAAGCAACCUGCCUUUAAGACGAGAAUAACAAUUGGAAACAGUUGCUAAGGCUGGAUAGGAAAUAAAAAGGCAUCUUUUUAUUUUUAAAAGACCUUUUUCGGAAGGUAUGCUUAAAGAGGGGCUUGCGUCACAUUAGUUAGUUGGUAGGGUAAAGGCCUACCAAGACGAUGAUGUGUAGCUGGACUGAGAGGUUGAACAGCCACAUUGGGACUGAGACACGGCCCAAACUCCUACGGGAGGCAGCAGUAGGGAAUUUUCGGCAAUGGAGGAAACUCUGACCGAGCAACGCCGCGUGAACGACGAAGUACUUCGGUAUGUAAAGUUCUUUUAUUGAAGAAGAAACAAUAGUGGAAAAACUAUCUUGACGUUAUUCAAUGAAUAAGCCCCGGCUAACUAUGUGCCAGCAGCCGCGGUAAUACAUAGGGGGCGAGCGUUAUCCGGAAUUAUUGGGCGUAAAGGGUGCGUAGGCGGUUUAAUAAGUCUCUAGUUUAAUUUCAACGCUUAACGUUGUCCUGCUAGAGAAACUGUUUAACUAGAGUGAGAUAGAGGUAAGCGGAAUUCCAUGUGUAGCGGUAAAAUGUGUAAAUAUAUGGAGGAACACCAGAGGCGUAGGCGGCUUACUGGGUCUUUACUGACGCUGAUGCAC
RNAcentral lists this ribosomal RNA (698 nucleotides) under Coconut lethal yellowing phytoplasma. RNAcentral describes it as "bacterial SSU rRNA". It matches the Rfam family "Bacterial small subunit ribosomal RNA", at positions 59 to 754 of the family's 1533-position model. The record is from RNAcentral. Lineage: Bacteria; Bacillati; Mycoplasmatota; Mollicutes; Acholeplasmatales; Acholeplasmataceae.